Molecule: long non-coding RNA, 2845 nt
Organism: Pangasianodon hypophthalmus (striped catfish)
Lineage: Eukaryota; Metazoa; Chordata; Actinopteri; Siluriformes; Pangasiidae
Exons: 2
Source: RefSeq, a predicted model, not a curated record
CAGGUCCAUUCUGUAGUUGUUCUGUAGCUCUGCUUGAGUUCGAAUUCUUCUUUGCUCCUCCAUCACAGCUCUCGCUGCCGCCUCGUCCAGAUUCUGAUGAACAAACAGAAAAGCCAGUGGACAUGGUAAAGAAAGAGAGGAAGAAAAAACAGAACAGCUGGAGAGACACGGUAUGCUCAAUCAUCUUCUUUUCCACUUCACAUACCAGUGAUAUUCAAACUGACAGGAAAAAUAAGCAGAUUUCUAGCUAUGAUAAAUAAAAACAAAAAACAUCAGUAUUACGUCAGGGAUGUAAUAUGGUUGCCAAAUCAUUGUGACAAAUUUCCCACAGAUGAACUGCAUUCAGUAAAGAUAGCUGCUGUUGUCACAACGUAAAAGCCACUGAGUUGAAAAAAACAAAAACAAAACACUGUAUAGAAUAUUUAGCGUUUUGGUUUUAGCCUGAUUUUAGAGCUAAUUUUAUUGACCACUGGGCUGUUUUUUGCACACACAGCUGGCACGGAUUGAAGAAAAACUUAUAUUUCCUUAUAUUUACUUAUAUUUCCAUGAUUUUCACUUUCCCAGCAGAGUAUAUACAUUUGGGCUUCUACAGUCUCAUAUGAGAAGUUGACAAAGCCAAACAGGCCAUGUUUCCAUUUGUAUUUGUGGUCGUGUCACAAACCCACAAAGGAUAAACUGCAAGCAACGCAAGUGUCAUGUAGCCUGCUAGUGUGAAUGAAGGGCAAGUCUGAACCCAUGACGGCUUGUAAGAGUUUAAAUGGGUAAUGUUUAAAUCAAUAGAACAGGCGUACACGCUGUUUUUUUUUUUUUUUUAAUUUUGUAGAGAGCUGUGGUCAAAAUUUCUGCAAACCAUGGUACGUGUGAAAUUUGGCUAUAAACAAUGGUUUUGUUAGUUGGGAAGAAAUUUCUAGUUAAAUUUCUACUUAAAAAGUAAAAAUCUGAUUCACCAACAAAAGCACCAAAGCACCAACAAAAACGACCAAGACAAUAAAAUGAUAUUUACUUAGAAUUUGUAUUUAGAUACGUUCCUGUCAAUGAGCACGUGUGAUUUGGGCUGUCGUGUGCUUAUAUUUUGUAUAUGUUACAGGAAAGGGGAAUCUUUUUAGAGGGUUGUAAGGAGUUGGAUUGUGAUUGAUGUUAUGACUGGACUGUAGUACCUUCCUCAUGGCUUCCAGCUCUCUUUGUUUCUUCUCGUUGGCCAACUGCAGCUCCUUCAUCUGUCCCUCCAUCCGCACUUGUUCUGCCUGCAGGCGGUUGCGCAGCUCUCGUCUUCGCUGUCGAGCCUCACGGUGGGGCGCAGACAGACCCUGCCUCAGCCGGUUAAUGCAGUCCUGAAUGGCUGACACACACACACACACACACACAUAUAUAUUAUUUUUUUGGCAUGUGAUCAAAAAUUGUCUGAGAUCAGGAGUGAGAAAAAAAAUAAAGAAAAAUCUGAAAAAAAUCUGAGGUAUCUUAAAAGUGGAAGUAGAGAGUAAUUGGAAGCAUGCCCAAUCUAUGGUUUACUCAAGUAUUUAAAAGUUAGAAUGUUUUCUUUUUCAGUGUGGACACACUCAGAAAUCAGCAAUAAUUUGGACAACAGAAUUCAUAUAUAAAUUUAUGAAGUUUAGGUUAAGGUUUGGCUAGGGUCAGGGGUGGAGUUAGGGGCGGGGUUAGCAUUCAUACCGUUCCUUACAAGGAAUGCACAAUUCAUGGUCAGCCUGCACCUAUUUAACAUGCUGUAAUGUCACCAGGACAGAGCCACAUCUCUUGUAUGUGCGUACAUAUGAGAUACACUAUAUAGCCAAAAGUUUGUGGACACCAGACUAUCACACCCAUACAUGAUUGUUGAACAUCCCAUUCCAGAUUCUGUUACAAUAACCUCCACUCUUCUAAGAAGGAUUUUGGAGCACAGCUGUGGGGAUUUGUGCUCAUUCAGCCCCAAGUGCAAGAGUGAGGUAAGACACUGAUGUUGGGUGAGGAGGUCUGGGGUGCAGUUGUCGUUCCAGUUCAUCCCAAAGGUGUUGAGUGGGGUUGAGGUCAGGGCUCUGUGCAGGACACUUGAGUUCUUCCCCUCAAACUUUAGCAAACCAUGUCUUCAUGGAGCUUGCAUUGUCAUGCUGGAACAGGUUUUGGCCUCUUAGUUCCAGUCAAGAGAAACUGUAAUGCUACAGCAUACAUUCUAUACAGUUGUGUGUUUCCAACAGUUUGGCAACAGUUUGGGGAAGAAUCACAUAUAGGAGUGACGUCCACAUACUUUUGGCCAUAUAGUAUAGCUGUGUAGAAAGCUAGCAAAAUGGACAAUAAAUGGUGAAAAUGGAUAAUAAGGGAGAGCCUAUUUUACAAAAGAAGAAAUAUCCGCACUUUUCUGUUUUCCCACAGGAACAAUUAAAUUAGUAGCUGCACAAAAAAAAGAAAUAUCUUGUUCAUUAUCUUUUGUGAUUUGUAAAUUAUAAUGUAAGAAACAGAAAGUAGAAAAUAUAAGAAGCAUAAAGUUUAUUCAGGGAAAAGGGAAUGUGACAUAGUUUGAAGUACUGAAUUGAUGAAGUACUUUCCACUGGGACACUAUAAAGUUUCCUUACCCUGAAUCCAUUCUUGCCGUUUCUUUUUGUCCGAGGCACUGAUCUCGAGGCUUUUGUCUUGACAUUUGAUGAUAAAGAGGUUUCUCUUUCCUUCUCUGUCUGGUAAAGACUGAAAAAAACAAAAACACUUGAGCGUGACUUGCUCAGCAUCAUAUUUUAAACACAGGCCUUGUUGAGUUCUCACCUCCACGCAGCAGUGACGGUCCAGUGAAAUGGAGCCCUUCUUCUCACUGAGGUCCUCCGUCACAUAGUACGAGAUUGAAUCGAGACGCAGCUCGAAC